RNAcentral lists this ribosomal RNA (429 nucleotides) under Gemmatimonadota bacterium. Its description in RNAcentral is "Gemmatimonadetes bacterium partial 16S ribosomal RNA". It matches the Rfam family "Bacterial small subunit ribosomal RNA", at positions 355 to 776 of the family's 1533-position model. Lineage: Bacteria; Pseudomonadati; Gemmatimonadota. The record is from RNAcentral.
UAGGGAAUCUUCGGCAAUGGACGAAAGUCUCACCGAGCAACGCCGCGUGAGUGAAGAAGGUUUUCGGAUCGUAAAACUCUGUUGUUAGAGAAGAACAAGGACGUUAGUAACUGAACGUCCCCUGACGGUAUCUAACCAGAAAGCCACGGCUAACUACGUGCCAGCAGCCGCGGUAAUACGUAGGUGGCAAGCGUUGUCCGGAUUUAUUGGGCGUAAAGCGAGCGCAGGCGGUUUCUUAAGUCUGAUGUGAAAGCCCCCGGCUCAACCGGGGAGGGUCAUUGGAAACUGGGAGACUUGAGUGCAGAAGAGGAGAGUGGAAUUCCAUGUGUAGCGGUGAAAUGCGUAGAUAUAUGGAGGAACACCAGUGGCGAAGGCGGCUCUCUGGUCUGUAACUGACGCUGAGGCUCGAAAGCGUGGGGAGCAAACAGG